AUGCACGCUGGCGGCGUGCCUAAUCCAUGCAAGUCGAGCGAACAGAUGAGGAGCUUGCUCCUCUGACGUUAGCGGCGGACGGGUGGGUAACACGUGGAUAACCUACCUAUAAGACUGGGAUAACUUCGGGAAACCGGAGCUAAUACCGGAUAAUAUAUUGAACCGCAUGGUUCAAUAGUGAAAGACGGUUUUGCUGUCACUUAUAGAUGGAUCCGCGCCGCAUUAGCUAGUUGGUAAGGUAACGGCUUACCAAGGCGACGAUGCGUAGCCGACCUGAGAGGGUGAUCGGCCACACUGGAACUGAGACACGGUCCAGACUCCUACGGGAGGCAGCAGUAGGGAAUCUUCCGCAAUGGGCGAAAGCCUGACGGAGCAACGCCGCGUGAGUGAUGAAGGUCUUCGGAUCGUAAAACUCUGUUAUUAGGGAAGAACAAAUGUGUAAGUAACUAUGCACGUCUUGACGGUACCUAAUCAGAAAGCCACGGCUAACUACGUG
RNAcentral lists this ribosomal RNA (496 nucleotides) under uncultured bacterium. Its description in RNAcentral is "partial 16S ribosomal RNA". It matches the Rfam family "Bacterial small subunit ribosomal RNA", at positions 29 to 507 of the family's 1533-position model. The record is from RNAcentral.